RNAcentral lists this ribosomal RNA (376 nucleotides) under uncultured bacterium. Its description in RNAcentral is "bacterial SSU rRNA". It matches the Rfam family "Bacterial small subunit ribosomal RNA", at positions 524 to 898 of the family's 1533-position model. The record is from RNAcentral.
UACAGAGGGUGCAAGCGUUGUUCGGAAUUAUUGGGCGUAAAGCGCGUGUAGGCGGCUUUGCAAGUCGGGUGUGAAAGCCCUCGGCUCAACCGAGGAAGUGCGCCCGAAACUGCAGAGCUUGAGUACCGGAGAGGAUGGCGGAAUUCCCCAAGUAGAGGUGAAAUUCGUAGAUAUGGGGAGGAACACCGGUGGCGAAGGCGGCCAUCUGGACGGAUACUGACGCUGAGACGCGAAAGCGUGGGGAGCAAACAGGAUUAGAUACCCUGGUAGUCCACGCCGUAAACGAUGAGAACUAGGUGUCGUGGGUGUUGACCCCCGCGGUGCCGUAGCCAACGCAUUAAGUUCUCCGCCUGGGAAGUACGGCCGCAAGGCUAAA